RNAcentral lists this ribosomal RNA (438 nucleotides) under uncultured Meiothermus sp. Its description in RNAcentral is "bacterial SSU rRNA". It matches the Rfam family "Bacterial small subunit ribosomal RNA", at positions 338 to 795 of the family's 1533-position model. The record is from RNAcentral. Lineage: Bacteria; Thermotogati; Deinococcota; Deinococci; Thermales; Thermaceae.
CCUACGGGAGGCAGCAGUUAGGAAUCUUCGUCAAUGGGCGAAAGCCUGAACGAGCGACGCCGCUUGAGGGACGAAGCCCUUCGGGGUGUAAACCUCUGAACAGGGGACGAUGAUGACGGUACCCUGCUAAUAGCACCGGCUAACUCCGUGCCAGCAGCCGCGGUAAUACGGAGGGUGCGAGCGUUACCCGGAUUUACUGGGCGUAAAGGGCGUGUAGGCGGUUUUCUAAGUCCGGGGCUAAAGACCAGGGCUCAACCCUGGGUUUGCCUUGGAGACUGGAAAGCUCGACGGCUGGAGGGGGCAGCGGAAUUUCCGGAGUAGCGGUGAAAUGCGCAGAUACCGGAAGGAACGCCAAUAGCGAAGGCAGCUGCCUGGACAGUACGUGACGCUGAGGCGCGAAAGCGUGGGGAGCAAACCGGAUUAGAUACCCUUGUAGUC